This is a long non-coding RNA of Episyrphus balteatus (marmalade hoverfly), 1477 nucleotides long. RefSeq lists it as uncharacterized. The transcript has 3 exons. The record is from RefSeq and is a predicted model, not a curated record. NCBI's taxonomy places the organism in Eukaryota, Metazoa, Arthropoda, Insecta, Diptera, Syrphidae.
UACUGCUGCAUCUUGCUUUGGAUUUUUCUAGCUGAUCAUCUGCUAGCGGCACAAGUAACACAUUUUCGGCACCACUUUUCAACGUCUUCUCUCAUACGUAACCAGUAGAAUUGCUGUCGUAGCUUUUCCAGCGUCUUGUUGAUGCCUAAAUGGCCUCCAGAAGUUCCAUCGUGCAUCUCUCGGAGAACAUCAUUAACUGUUGACUGAGGUACGACUAGCUGCAUAACAUAGGAUUUACCAUCUGCGGAUUCCCACUUACGCCUGAGUAGCCCUUCUUGCACAUGAAGCAAGUCCCAUUGUGCCCAAUAUGCUUUGAGAGUGCAACUUCGGUCGGAGAUGUCAGCCCAUUCUGGUUUCUCUUGAUGUUCCUUCCAUGCAAGGAUGGGUUCGAUGUCCGAAUCUUCCUGUUGGGCCAUCCUGAGUUCUUUAUCACUUCAGCCGGAAGUGGGAUCAGCUCUCGUUCGUCUAACAGCGACAAUUUCCUUCUCUUCUAGUCGUGUGCAAAAGCUUGCAGUCUUGUUUGCACGGGCGCCGAGAUAAUGCGUCUGCGUUUGAAUGCAGCUUUCUUCUUCGAUGUUGAAUUUGACAGUGGAUAUGUCUGAAGUAUCUCGAUCCAUCUCGCUACUUGACCCUCUGGAUUUUUUAAGUUCAAAAGCCAAUUUAGUGCACCAUGAUCUGUGCGAACUUCUGUCCAUAGAUGUACUUAUGGAAGUGCUUUGUUGCCAACACCAGAGCAAGAAUUUUCCUCCUGGUCACGCAAUACUUUCUUUCUUGUUUCGAGAGUACUGUUAGAUACAUCCAUUUAUAAGAAUAAAACCAAGCGGUUCUACUUGAGGAAAACUAAUACUUUGAAAACAGAACUAUAGAAAAAAGAGUAGCUGCUAGAAAACCUGUUUUGAAAUCGGAGAUCAAAAAAUUAUUGAAAAACAGAAUCGUAAGGAGAGAAGAUUGAUUUUGGAUAAGUUGAAUCAAUAAACAAUAAACCAUUAUAUUUCGAAGCGGAACAUGAAGGUUUGUUUAACUUUUAACCGUUUCUAACUUCAGAAGUGGGAUAUGAACUACAAUUUAAUAAUACAAUUCUAUGGAAAAAUUUCAGGAUAAUGGAAUCGAAUAAUAUAAAUGAAACAAAAUAUAAGAGAUUUUGCAAGAACAUUACAAUUAUUAAAUGUCUUGAGAAAAGCAAUUUUUACAUUUCGUAAUCAAGCAAACUGAAAUUCAGCUGACGAAAACUCUUCCCAAAUUUUCUAUAAGUUACAUAAUUAAAGCCAUACAAUCCCAGAGAUGAAAUGACCAUGUGGAUUUAUCAUUUCUUUGAGUCUUUAAAUCAACGGAUUAUCUAAUUGGGAACUUCUUCGUACAAGUGGAGGAUAGAAAUCAACUUAAACGAGCUCCUGAGGUUCAACCUACACUCUAUUUCACUCUAUUUAUUUAUUUAUUCAUUACUUAAAAUUUUGAUAUAAAAAUAUAAUUAAAUACU